Molecule: ribosomal RNA, 1409 nt
Filed under: human gut metagenome
Description: bacterial LSU rRNA
Rfam family: Bacterial large subunit ribosomal RNA
Source: RNAcentral
AAAGGCCAAUCAAACCGGGAGAUAGCUGGUUCUCCCCGAAAUCUAUUUAGGUAGAGCCUCGUGAAUUCACCUCCGGGGGUAGAGCACUGUUUCGGCAAGGGGGUCAUCCCGACUUACCAACCCGAUGCAAACUGCGAAUACCGGAGAAUGUUAUCACGGGAGACACACGGCGGGUGCUAACGUCCGUCGUGAAGAGGGAAACAACCCAGACCGCCAGCUAAGGUCCCAAAGUCAUGGUUAAGUGGGAAACGAUGUGGGAAGGCCCAGACAGCCAGGAUGUUGGCUUAGAAGCAGCCAUCAUUUAAAGAAAGCGUAAUAGCUCACUGGUCGAGUCGGCCUGCGCGGAAGAUGUAACGGGGCUAAACCAUGCACCGAAGCUGCGGCAGCGACACUAUGUGUUGUUGGGUAGGGGAGCGUUCUGUAAGCCUGUGAAGGUGGCCUGUGAGGGUUGCUGGAGGUAUCAGAAGUGCGAAUGCUGACAUAAGUAACGAUAAAGCGGGUGAAAAGCCCGCUCGCCGGAAGACCAAGGGUUCCUGUCCAACGUUAAUCGGGGCAGGGUGAGUCGACCCCUAAGGCGAGGCCGAAAGGCGUAGUCGAUGGGAAACAGGUUAAUAUUCCUGUACUUGGUGUUACUGCGAAGGGGGGACGGAGAAGGCUAUGUUGGCCGGGCGACGGUUGUCCCGGUUUAAGCGUGUAGGCUGGUUUUCCAGGCAAAUCCGGAAAACCAAGGCUGAGGCGUGAUGACGAGGCACUACGGUGCUGAAGCGACAAAUGCCCUGCUUCCAGGAAAAGCCUCUAAGCAUCAGGUAACAUCAAAUCGUACCCCAAACCGACACAGGUGGUCAGGUAGAGAAUACCAAGGCGCUUGAGAGAACUCGGGUGAAGGAACUAGGCAAAAUGGUGCCGUAACUUCGGGAGAAGGCACGCUGAUAUGUAGGUGAAGCGACUUGCUCGUGGAGCUGAAAUCAGUCGAAGAUACCAGCUGGCUGCAACUGUUUAUUAAAAACACAGCACUGUGCAAACACGAAAGUGGACGUAUACGGUGUGACGCCUGCCCGGUGCCGGAAGGUUAAUUGAUGGGGUUAGCGGCAACGCGAAGCUCUUGAUCGAAGCCCCGGUAAACGGCGGCCGUAACUAUAACGGUCCUAAGGUAGCGAAAUUCCUUGUCGGGUAAGUUCCGACCUGCACGAAUGGCAUAAUGAUGGCCAGGCUGUCUCCACCCGAGACUCAGUGAAAUUGAACUCGCUGUGAAGAUGCAGUGUACCCGCGGCAAGACGGAAAGACCCCGUGAACCUUUACUAUAGCUUGACACUGAACAUUGAGCCUUGAUGUGUAGGAUAGGUGGGAGGCUUUGAAGUGUGGACGCCAGUCUGCAUGGAGCCGACCUUGAAAUACCACCCUUUAACGUU